GACGAACGCUGGCGGCGUGCUUAACACAUGCAAGUGGAGCGACGAACCAGGGCUUGCCCUGGGGCAGAGCCGCGAACGGGUGAGUAUCACGUGGGUAACGUGCCCCGAUGACUGGGACAACCCGGGGAAACCCGGGCUAAUACCGGAUGUGCCCCCUCACAUCAGUGAGGUGUGUAAAGGAAGCUUCGGCCUCCGCAUCGGGAUCGGCCUGCGGCCCAUUAGCUUGUUGGUGAGGUAACGGCUCACCAAGGCCGCGAUGGGUAGCUGGUCUGAGAGGACGAUCAGCCACACUGGGACUGAGACACGGCCCAGACUCCUACGGGAGGCAGCAGUGGGGAAUCUUGCGCAAUGCGCGAAAGCGUGACGCAGCAACGCCGCGUGGGGGAAGAAGGCCUUCGGGUCGUAAACCCCUUUCAGUUGGGACGAAGGUCGGGCCGUUAAUAGCGGUUCCGACUGACGGUACCUUCACAAGAAGCCCCGGCUAACUACGUGCCAGCAGCCGCCGUAACAC
RNAcentral lists this ribosomal RNA (511 nucleotides) under uncultured bacterium. RNAcentral describes it as "bacterial SSU rRNA". It matches the Rfam family "Bacterial small subunit ribosomal RNA", at positions 28 to 526 of the family's 1533-position model. The record is from RNAcentral.